CGCUGGCGGCGUGCUUAACACAUGCAAGUCGAACGGAGUACCCUUGAUUGAGGCUUCGGCCAAUUUCUUGGACUACUUAGUGGCGGACGGGUGAGUAACACGUGAGUAACCUGCCCUUGAGUGGGGAAUAACACACCGAAAGGUGUGCUAAUACCGCAUAACAUAACGGAAUCGCAUGUUUCUGUUAUCAAAGAUUUAUUGCUCAAGGAUGGGCUCGCGGCCGAUUAGGUAGUUGGUGAGGUAACGGCUCACCAAGCCGACGAUCGGUAGCCGGACUGAGAGGUUGAACGGCCACAUUGGGACUGAGACACGGCCCAGACUCCUACGGGAGGCAGCAGGUGGGGAAUAUUGCACAAUGGGGGAAACCCUGAUGCAGCGACGCCGCGUGAAGGAUGAAGGUCUUCGGAUCGUAAACUUUUGUCUUCAGGGACGAUAAUGACGGUACCUGAGGAGGAAGCCACGGCUAACUACGUG
Molecule: ribosomal RNA, 474 nt
Filed under: uncultured bacterium
Lineage: Bacteria
Description: bacterial SSU rRNA
Rfam family: Bacterial small subunit ribosomal RNA
Source: RNAcentral